RNA transcript from Varroa destructor (honeybee mite), 3654 nucleotides. RefSeq lists it as uncharacterized. Lineage: Eukaryota; Metazoa; Arthropoda; Arachnida; Mesostigmata; Varroidae. The record is from RefSeq and is a predicted model, not a curated record.
UCGGCACGUCUCUCAAAACUCCAGAAAACCGGAUCUAUUUCUCUUUUUCUGUCUAUCUCUCUCGGAGCGACAGAAAAAAUUGUGCAAACGGGAAAAAAACAGAAGACCAGAAGCGAAGACGAGGCGGAAAUGACGGGUUUUUGUCUCCCAGCUUGCUUGCUGCCUGUCAAUGUCUCUCAAUGACUGUCGCAAUCGUUCCGGCUUUGUGUAUAUGUUCCAGCGACGAACGUGCCCAGCGUCGCGAUCGGUGAUGAACGAUGGAUCACCGUUCGCGCGGUCGCCGAACAGGAUGGAGACGUCGAACAGCUCUAAAAAUACCCGUGCUACAAAUCAAGCGGCCUCCACGAGUCUUCGCAGCGUCGGCUGCUGCCAUAGCAGUGGCUAUGACGGCACAUCCCGUUAAAGAACAGAGCCAUCACUUGCUGCUGAGCAACAGAAAAGGACUGACUGGCUGCGGGUCGCGCGCAGGGGUUGCUGCAGGCCAAGCCCGAGCUUCAAGCGUACGUCUUAAGUGGCUGAGGCAGCGGCGGCCAUCGUAUGGUUGUGAGACGGUGAUGAUGAUGGUAAAAAGUUUUCGUGUUGAUUUCGACAUUGAUGUAAAUGCAGGCACAAAAGUGUUGAUGUCUGUGUGGUUAUGACGAUGUUCGAGAACCUGCAGAUGUUUUGAUGAUGGUUGACGCGAGACUUAAAGUUGAACGCCAGCCCGCCUCCCGCUGGCCAGUUGCGUCAGGUAAUUUGCGGGUAAUGGUAUCCUAAAAUGUUGUUUUUAGCUUGUUAAGAUAUCCAUGGUGGUAUUGAUGAAAGAGACUUCUUCUACUUCUGGUGCUCAUUGGAUACGGGUGUAUGCCAUAAAGUAAAAGCAUACUGAAGCCACGCGGACCGCUCAGUUGCAACUUAAAGGAAAUAACGAGGCAAUAGCAUAUAUCUUCUUGUAACGGCACGAAGGUAUCAGUUUGUAUAUGCAUGUGCUAGAUAUAAGACUGAAUCGUUUUACUGGUACAUACACACUUCGGAACGUGACAUAACGUUUAAGCGUCACAACGAAAAUACAAAGAAAUAGCUGUAACAGAUUGAAGUUAGUUAUUAUCGAAGAGUCUGUCGAGAGCUGUAGGACAAGAACGGAACGUCGGAAGAACGGAAAAAAAUAAUCAUAAUACAAGCUUGCAGGACCGUUUCGACGGAAAAAUUAUCUUCUGUACUUUCGAAAAAUCGUCCCUGCGAUCGGCGUGAGCGGACAGCAGAUUAUCUCAACAGAAAAACAGCUUAAAAAUUUAUUUCGAUUACGAAACUCAAACGUUGCCAAUAGAACACAGGGAUCUGCAAAGGUCUUCUUUAUCAAUUUGUUAUUUUUUAAGACGAUUUUGUUAUCUUUCAUUGCUGUUGACAUUACGUAUUUGCGGCAUCGUCGUUUAUAUGGUAUGAUUAUGUGUGGUUAGCCAGUUUAAAUACAUAUUGCGUCAAGUUCUACCGCUCGCUGAAACGUCAUACGACGUACGCUCCAGUAUUGUACUGGAUGUUUUUAUUACCUAAAUAUUCUGGUUGAUGUUACUUAAGCAUGACAUCAUGACAUAAACAUGUCCAGGAAAUGCGUCAGUGAAUGCAGAGAGCUCUCAGUACGCGUACGAUAAGACGCCAUCAUUGAUCAGCUUCGUAACCGUGACUUCUUAUCAGUUCUGUAUUAUAGCUUGACUUAAAAUCAAAGGGGUACUACGUUACGUCGUUGUCUAUGAAGCCCCACAAAAAGGUCGUCCUUCCCCAGCAAUUAAAUCGACGUGCCUGAAGACGAAGAUAGGCAGCUGUCUAGAGUCCGGGUUAUUCACCAUACGUUAAUUUUUAACUAUAUCGUAUAUUAACAGAUUUUAGCAGUUAGCUUUCAUUUCCCUUUGCAUAGUUAUUUCCUCAAUGUUUAGUAUGUUACGUAUAUCAAUAUAUACAUCCAUAUAUAUAUAUAUAGGGAGAUGCUAGGACUUCUGUAAUGUGAUUCAUAUUGCAACAUUGUCUAAUCAUUUGAGUAGUGGUGUUUAGCAUUAUGGAAAUAUAUAAUCGCCAGAAGAAUAUAUGGAAAACAAUUAUAGUACGGAAAUUCCUAUUCACGUUGAAGAUAAUAUUGUUUAAUUACACAUAUAUGCCCUAUAUCAGUGCAGCGCGAUCAAUCAUUAGUGAUGAUGAUGAUGAUGCUGAUGAUAGGCUAAACUUUACUUAAAGGCAGUGGAUUACAGAGCAGCGGCCAUACCAUUAUGUUUGAGCAUCCCUCGAGGGAACAAAUUAUGUCGUAUCAACCUCAAAGUGGAGCUGAAUAAUGCUUGUGCUGUUACACCAGUGAUUACACUGCGCCUUCCAAGCCGGAAGAUAGUCGUUCGGGCUGUGCAGGCCGCCUCCGCCUCCUCCUCCUCUUUAGGGGAGCAUGUGUACAUCGCUACAAAUCAUCCAUUGUGGAUAUAUACAUUCCUUCAUUAGAAGUGGCCUUCGACUCGAACGUUGGCAACGUUACUCAUCCCGUAGUAGCUACGGUACAAUUUUAAAUGGGUCCAGACGAUACCGAAAUACGUUUCGAUGACAAACUUUUGUCGGACAAGUGACAACAAUGAGCGAAUGCAGGAAUACAAAGUCUGAUUUUCGUAUUUAGGUAAAGUUAGGUUUGUCGCUUUUCCUGUAACGGCAGUACGAAAAAACCUUGUCGAUCAUGCUGAUUUCUCGAUGGGAGGAGAGUACGAGCGUCGAGACUAUCAGCGUAACAGCGACUAGUAGUGCCAUUAUGAUGCGGUCUCUGAGUUUGUACUGAGCACUCUAAAUUUCUACCUAUCGUUCAUUCGUCCUUAAAUUGUGCUUCAGUACAAAACUAGCCGAUUUUCCGCUACGUCAAGGCUGUUCCGUACUUUAAAGAUAAACCUCAAUUUGUCGAGAGCUAUUAUAUUAUAGCCACGAAUGACAGCUUUGGUCAAUUUGUACAAGUGUUGAAUCAUUGAAGUGUACAGCUUUCUGCUCUUUACUGGCUUACCGGAAGGCUAUUGCAACGAGUGUUCGAAAUUGUCUCUUGGACUUUAUGGAAAUAAACACAAAUUUAUAUAUAUAUAUUAGUCAAAGGUCAGUCAUCUGUGUUCGCCCGUUGACUUGCUUUCGAUUAUUAGUUUAGUAUAAAAAAAUAUGGCAAUAUCUAACGCACAGUUUCGCCUUGAUUUACCUUCGUACUCGUACGUUCAGGCUUGAAUUGACAGAAAUUCAACUAUGAGAUAACUACAGAUUUACUUGCCGUUCGGACGCAAACUAAAAUUUGUGUAAUCUGUUACGUGAGAUUGCUGGGUAUAUACAACUGAAGUUGGAAAAUCGACAAGCUUCGACAAGGACGAUGACAUUUUGACCGAUCAAAAACCGAUGGAAUCUUGUGUGAUUAACAGGCUGGCAAGCAGGAAAAGUACGCAUCAAAUCUUCUUAAACACCGCUCGCGUCUACAUGUUAUAAAGGCAGGAUUAAGGGAGCUAAUUUCAGAUGCGGUGGUCGAUGUAUCCGAUACAAUAUCAACCAUUCUUCGUUGGAGUACUUCGCCAGUCGAACAGUCGGUAGCCCAGACGAUGGCGCACGCUUCCCUGAUGGCCCUUCUUACUGUAUAAUAUAAUAUUCUAGUUUCUGCAAUCAAGUUCGAAAUUUUUUCAUCGA